GGGCCCGCACAAGCGGUGGAGUAUGUGGUUUAAUUCGAUGCAACGCGAAGAACCUUACCAGGGUUUGACAUCCUGCGAAUCUCUUGGAAACUUGAGAGUGCCUUCGGGAGCGCAGUGACAGGUGGUGCAUGGCUGUCGUCAGCUCGUGUCGUGAGAUGUUGGGUUAAGUCCCGCAACGAGCGCAACCCUUGUCCUUAUUUGCCAGCACGUAAUGAUGGGAACUCUAACGGGACUGCCGGUGCAAACCGCGAGGAAGGUGGGGAUGACGUCAAAUCAUCACGGCCCUUACGUCCUGGGCUACACACGUGCUACAAUGGCCGGUACAGAGGGCAGCCACACCGCAAGGUGGAGCGAAUCCUUAAAACCGGUCUCAGUUCGGAUCGGGGUCUGCAACUCGGCCCCGUGAAGCUGGAAUC
Molecule: ribosomal RNA, 416 nt
Filed under: uncultured bacterium
Lineage: Bacteria
Description: bacterial SSU rRNA
Rfam family: Bacterial small subunit ribosomal RNA
Source: RNAcentral